RNAcentral lists this ribosomal RNA (253 nucleotides) under uncultured bacterium. RNAcentral's name for it is "partial 16S ribosomal RNA". It matches the Rfam family "Bacterial small subunit ribosomal RNA", at positions 524 to 776 of the family's 1533-position model. The record is from RNAcentral.
UACGUAGGGUGCAGGCGUUAAUCGGAAUUACUGGGCGUAAAGCGUGCGCAGGCGGUCUACUAAGAGAGGUGUGAAAUCCCCAGGCUCAACCUGGGAAGUGCGCGCGAAACUGGCGGACUUGAGUGCCGGAGAGGGUGGCGGAAUUCCCGGUGUAGAGGUGAAAUUCGUAGAUAUCGGGAGGAACACCAGAGGCGAAGGCGGCCACCUGGACGAACACUGACGCUGAGACGCGAAAGCGUGGGGAGCAAACAGG